This is an unclassified non-coding RNA of Macaca fascicularis (crab-eating macaque), 148 nucleotides long. It matches the Rfam family "Metazoan signal recognition particle RNA". From Rfam's summary of the family: The signal recognition particle (SRP) is a universally conserved ribonucleoprotein. The record is from Ensembl. NCBI's taxonomy places the organism in Eukaryota, Metazoa, Chordata, Mammalia, Primates, Cercopithecidae.
GCUGGGUGUGGUGGUGCGCACCUGUAAUCCCAGCUACUUGGGAGGCUGAGGUGGGAGAAUUGCUUGAACCCAGGAGGCAGAGGUUGCAGUGAGCUGAGAUUGCAUCACUGCACUUCAGCCUGGGCAACAGAGUGAGACUCUGUCUCAA